RNAcentral lists this ribosomal RNA (468 nucleotides) under uncultured bacterium. Its description in RNAcentral is "partial 16S ribosomal RNA". It matches the Rfam family "Bacterial small subunit ribosomal RNA", at positions 28 to 507 of the family's 1533-position model. The record is from RNAcentral.
GACGAACGCUGGCGGCGUGCUUAACACAUGCAAGUCGAACGGAAAGGCCCUGCUCUUGUGGGGUGCUCGAGUGGCGAACGGGUGAGUAACACGUGAGUAACCUGCCCUUGACUUUGGGAUAACUUCAGGAAACUGGGGCUAAUACAGGAUAGGAGCUCCUGCUGCAUGGUGGGGGUUGGAAAGUUUCGGCGGUUGGGGCUGGACUCGCGGCUUAUCAGCUUGUUGGUGAGGUAGUGGCUUACCAAGGCUUUGACGGGUAGCCGGCCUGAGCGGGUGACCGGCGACCAUGGGACUGAGAGAGGCCGCAGACGGGUACGGGAGGCAGCAGGGGGAAGUAUUGCGGAAUGAGCGGGAGCCUGAUACAGAGGCGCCGGGUGCGGAAUGACGUCCUUCGGGUGGUAAACCGCUUUCGCAUGUGAUGAAGCGUGAGUGACGGUAAUGGGUCAAGAAGCACCGGCUAACUACGUG